RNAcentral lists this transfer RNA (73 nucleotides) under Bacteroidota bacterium. RNAcentral's name for it is "Bacteroidetes bacterium (activated sludge metagenome) tRNA-Gln". It matches the Rfam family "tRNA". From Rfam's summary of the family: Transfer RNA (tRNA) molecules are approximately 80 nucleotides in length. Lineage: Bacteria; Pseudomonadati; Bacteroidota. The record is from RNAcentral.
UGUCCGAUGGUGUAACUGGCAACACGUCUGAUUUUGGUUCAGAAGAGUUCAGGUUCGAAACCUGAUCGGACAA